GGUUAAGCGACUAAGCGUACACGGUGGAUGCCCUGGCAGUCAGAGGCGAUGAAGGACGUGCUAAUCUGCGAUAAGCGUCGGUAAGGUGAUAUGAACCGUUAUAACCGGCGAUUUCCGAAUGGGGAAACCCAGUGUGUUUCGACACACUAUCAUUAACUGAAUCCAUAGGUUAAUGAGGCGAACCGGGGGAACUGAAACAUCUAAGUACCCCGAGGAAAAGAAAUCAACCGAGAUUCCCCCAGUAGCGGCGAGCGAACGGGGAGCAGCCCAGAGCCUGAAUCAGUGUGUGUGUUAGUGGAAGCGUCUGGAAAGGCGCGCGAUACAGGGUGACAGCCCCGUACACAAAAAUGCACAUGCUGUGAGCUCGAUGAGUAGGGCGGGACACGUGGUAUCCUGUCUGAAUAUGGGGGGACCAUCCUCCAAGGCUAAAUACUCCUGACUGACCGAUAGUGAACCAGUACCGUGAGGGAAAGGCGAAAAGAACCCCGGCGAGGGGAGUGAAAAAGAACCUGAAACCGUGUACGUACAAGCAGUGGGAGCACGCUUAGGCGUGUGACUGCGUACCUUUUGUAUAAUGGGUCAGCGACUUAUAUUCUGUAGCAAGGUUAACCGAAUAGGGGAGCCGAAGGGAAACCGAGUCUUAACUGGGCGUUAAGUUGCAGGGUAUAGACCCGAAACCCGGUGAUCUAGCCAUGGGCAGGUUGAAGGUUGGGUAACACUAACUGGAGGACCGAACCGACUAAUGUUGAAAAAUUAGCGGAUGACUUGUGGCUGGGGGUGAAAGGCCAAUCAAACCGGGAGAUAGCUGGUUCUCCCCGAAAGCUAUUUAGGUAGCGCCUCGUGAAUUCAUCUCCGGGGGUAGAGCACUGUUUCGGCAAGGGGGUCAUCCCGACUUACCAACCCGAUGCAAACUGCGAAUACCGGAGAAUGUUAUCACGGGAGACACACGGCGGGUGCUAACGUCCGUCGUGAAGAGGGAAACAACCCAGACCGCCAGCUAAGGUCCCAAAGUCAUGGUUAAGUGGGAAACGAUGUGGGAAGGCCCAGACAGCCAGGAUGUUGGCUUAGAAGCAGCCAUCAUUUAAAGAAAGCGUAAUAGCUCACUGGUCGAGUCGGCCUGCGCGGAAGAUGUAACGGGGCUAAACCAUGCACCGAAGCUGCGGCAGCGACACUAUGUGUUGUUGGGUAGGGGAGCGUUCUGUAAGCCUGUGAAGGUGUGCUGUGAGGCAUGCUGGAGGUAUCAGAAGUGCGAAUGCUGACAUAAGUAACGAUAAAGCGGGUGAAAAGCCCGCUCGCCGGAAGACCAAGGGUUCCUGUCCAACGUUAAUCGGGGCAGGGUGAGUCGACCCCUAAGGCGAGGCCGAAAGGCGUAGUCGAUGGGAAACAGGUUAAUAUUCCUGUACUUGGUGUUACUGCGAAGGGGGGACGGAGAAGGCUAUGUUGGCCGGGCGACGGUUGUCCCGGUUUAAGCGUGUAGGCUGGUUUUCCAGGCAAAUCCGGAAAAUCAAGGCUGAGGCGUGAUGACGAGGCACUACGGUGCUGAAGCAACAAAUGCCCUGCUUCCAGGAAAAGCCUCUAAGCAUCAGGUAACAUCAAAUCGUACCCCAAACCGACACAGGUGGUCAGGUAGAGAAUACCAAGGCGCUUGAGAGAACUCGGGUGAAGGAACUAGGCAAAAUGGUGCCGUAACUUCGGGAGAAGGCACGCUGAUAUGUAGGUGAAGUCCCUCGCGGAUGGAGCUGAAAUCAGUCGAAGAUACCAGCUGGCUGCAACUGUUUAUUAAAAACACAGCACUGUGCAAACACGAAAGUGGACGUAUACGGUGUGACGCCUGCCCGGUGCCGGAAGGUUAAUUGAUGGGGUCAGCGCAAGCGAAGCUCUUGAUCGAAGCCCCGGUAAACGGCGGCCGUAACUAUAACGGUCCUAAGGUAGCGAAAUUCCUUGUCGGGUAAGUUCCGACCUGCACGAAUGGCGUAAUGAUGGCCAGGCUGUCUCCACCCGAGACUCAGUGAAAUUGAACUCGCUGUGAAGAUGCAGUGUACCCGCGGCAAGACGGAAAGACCCCGUGAACCUUUACUAUAGCUUGACACUGAACAUUGAGCCUUGAUGUGUAGGAUAGGUGGGAGGCUUGGAAGUGUGGACGCCAGUCUGCAUGGAGCCGACCUUGAAAUACCACCCUUUAAUGUUUGAUGUUCUAACGUGGACCCGUGAUCCGGGUUGCGGACAGUGUCUGGUGGGUAGUUUGACUGGGGCGGUCUCCUCCUAAAGAGUAACGGAGGAGCACGAAGGUUGGCUAAUCCUGGUCGGACAUCAGGAGGUUAGUGCAAUGGCAUAAGCCAGCUUGACUGCGAGCGUGACGGCGCGAGCAGGUGCGAAAGCAGGUCAUAGUGAUCCGGUGGUUCUGAAUGGAAGGGCCAUCGCUCAACGGAUAAAAGGUACUCCGGGGAUAACAGGCUGAUACCGCCCAAGAGUUCAUAUCGACGGCGGUGUUUGGCACCUCGAUGUCGGCUCAUCACAUCCUGGGGCUGAAGUAGGUCCCAAGGGUAUGGCUGUUCGCCAUUUAAAGUGGUACGCGAGCUGGGUUUAGAACGUCGUGAGACAGUUCGGUCCCUAUCUGCCGUGGGCGCUGGAGAACUGAGGGGGGCUGCUCCUAGUACGAGAGGACCGGAGUGGACGCAUCACUGGUGUUCGGGUUGUCAUGCCAAUGGCACUGCCCGGUAGCUAAAUGCGGAAGAGAUAAGUGCUGAAAGCAUCUAAGCACGAAACUUGCCCCGAGAUGAGUUCUCCCUGACUCCUUGAGAGUCCUGAAGGAACGUUGAAGACGACGACGUUGAUAGGCCGGGUGUGUAAGCGCAGCGAUGCGUUGAGCUAACCGGUACUAAUGAACCGUGAGGCUUAACCUU
Molecule: ribosomal RNA, 2903 nt
Filed under: Escherichia coli
Lineage: Bacteria; Pseudomonadati; Pseudomonadota; Gammaproteobacteria; Enterobacterales; Enterobacteriaceae
Description: 23S ribosomal RNA
Rfam family: Bacterial large subunit ribosomal RNA
Source: RNAcentral